Molecule: long non-coding RNA, 284 nt
Organism: Numida meleagris (helmeted guineafowl)
Lineage: Eukaryota; Metazoa; Chordata; Aves; Galliformes; Numididae
Source: Ensembl
GUGCUGUAAGGAGCUAUUCACAGGGCUUGUCCCAGUGACAGCAGACACCCGAUACUCGCAGGCUGGGUCUUGUAAGCUCAUACUUUUUAUCAAGGAGAGGUGCAGGGAGAAUUUGCUGCUUCAAAGACUUUUCCCACAGCAACGGAGCUAUGAGCUCGUGCUGUUUGCAGCCAGACGCUGAUGCUCUGUGCAGUGAGAUGGAGGUGCCUGGAGGAGUGGCUGGGUGGCUGGAGAAGCUGCGUGAGGACAUCGAGUCUGAAGCUUUUUUCAUGUCAAGGAAUUGA